ACAUACGACCAUAGGUUCUAGAGAACUCGGCAUCCCGUCCGCUCUGCCCUAGAUAAACUGGAAACCGCCAAAUUAGUAGUUGAGUCGGUGACGAUCAGCGAAUCCUUGGUGUUGUAUGUU
RNAcentral lists this ribosomal RNA (120 nucleotides) under Pestalotiopsis fici W106-1. The record is from RNAcentral. Lineage: Eukaryota; Fungi; Ascomycota; Sordariomycetes; Amphisphaeriales; Sporocadaceae.